GACAUCCAGAGAAUUUAGCAGAGAUGCUUUAGUGCCUUCGGGAACUCUGAGACAGGUGCUGCAUGGCUGUCGUCAGCUCGUGUUGUGAAAUGUUGGGUUAAGUCCGCAACGAGCGCAACCCUUAUCCUUUGUUGCCAGCACGUAAUGGUGGGAACUCAAAGGAGACUGCCGGUGAUAAACCGGAGGAAGGUGGGGAUGACGUCAAGUCAUCAUGGCCCUUACGAGUAGGGCUACACACGUGCUACAAUGGCGUAUACAAAGAGAAGCGACCUCGCGAGAGCAAGCGGACCUCAUAAAGUGCGUCGUAGUCCGGAUUGGAGUCUGCAACUCGACUCCAUGAAGUCGGAAUCGCUAGUAAUCGUAAAUCAGAAUGUUACGGUGAAUACGUUCCCGGGCCUUGUACACACCGCCCGUCACACCAUGGGAGUGGGUUGCAAAAGAAGUAGAUAGCUUAACCUUCGGGAGGGCGUUUACCACUUUGUGAUUCAUGACUGGGGUGAAGUCGUAACAAGGUAGGCGUAGUGCU
RNAcentral lists this ribosomal RNA (526 nucleotides) under uncultured bacterium. RNAcentral's name for it is "bacterial SSU rRNA". It matches the Rfam family "Bacterial small subunit ribosomal RNA", at positions 983 to 1509 of the family's 1533-position model. The record is from RNAcentral.